RNAcentral lists this ribosomal RNA (425 nucleotides) under uncultured bacterium. RNAcentral describes it as "bacterial SSU rRNA". It matches the Rfam family "Bacterial small subunit ribosomal RNA", at positions 355 to 796 of the family's 1533-position model. The record is from RNAcentral.
UGAGGAAUCUUGCGCAAUGGGGGAAACCCUGACGCAGCGACGCCGCGUGCGGGAUGAAGGCCUUCGGGUCGUAAACCGCUUUUCUGGGGGACGAGUAAGGACGGUACCUCAGGAAUAAGUCCCGGCUAACUACGUGCCAGCAGCCGCGGUAAAACGUAGGGGGCGAGCGUUAUCCGGAAUUACUGGGCGUAAAGGGCGUCUAGGCGGUUCAUUAAGUCCUGCGUGAAAGCUCCCGGCUCAACUGGGAGAGCGCGUGGGGGACUGGUGGGCUAGAGACUCGGAGAGGGGUGUGGAAUUCCCGGUGGAGUGGUGAAAUGCGUUGAGAUCGGGAGGAACACCAGUGGCGAAGGCGGCACCCUGGCCGACGUCUGACGCUGAAGCGCGACAGCGUGGGGAGCAAACGGGAUUAGAUACCCCCGUAGUCC